UCUACAGGCCUAACACAUGCAAGUCGAGGGGCAGCAUGGUCUUAGCUUGCUAAGGCCGAUGGCGACCGGCGCACGGGUGAGUAACACGUAUCCAACCUGCCGUCUACUCUUGGACAGCCUUCUGAAAGGAAGAUUAAUACAAGAUGGCAUCAUGAGUCCGCAUGUUCACAUGAUUAAAGGUAUUCCGGUAGACGAUGGGGAUGCGUUCCAUUAGAUAGUAGGCGGGGUAACGGCCCACCUAGUCUUCGAUGGAUAGGGGUUCUGAGAGGAAGGUCCCCCACAUUGGAACUGAGACACGGUCCAAACUCCUACGGGAGGCAGCAGUGAGGAAUAUUGGUCAAUGGGCGAGAGCCUGAACCAGCCAAGUAGCGUGAAGGAUGACUGCCCUAUGGGUUGUAAACUUCUUUUAUAAAGGAAUAAAGUCGGGUAUGGAUACCCGUUUGCAUGUACUUUAUGAAUAAGGAUCGGCUAACUCCGUGCCAGCAGCCGCGGUAAUACGGAGGAUCCGAGCGUUAUCCGGAUUUAUUGGGUUUAAAGGGAGCGUAGAUGGAUGUUUAAGUCAGUUGUGAAAGUUUGCGGCUCAACCGUAAAAUUGCAGUUGAUACUGGAUAUCUUGAGUGCAGUUGAGGCAGGCGGAAUUCGUGGUGUAGCGGUGAAAUGCUUAGAUAUCACGAAGAACUCCGAUUGCGAAGGCAGCCUGCUAAGCUGCAACUGACAUUGAGGCUCGAAAGUGUGGGUAUCAAACAGGAUUAGAUACCCUGGUAGUCCACACGGUAAACGAUGAAUACUCGCUGUUUGCGAUAUACUGCAAGCGGCCAAGCGAAAGCGUUAAGUAUUCCACCUGGGGAGUACGCCGGCAACGGUGAAACUCAAAGGAAUUGACGGGGGCCCGCACAAGCGGAGGAACAUGUGGUUUAAUUCGAUGAUACGCGAGGAACCUUACCCGGGCUUAAAUUGCAGAUGAAUUACGGUGAAAGCCGUAAGCCGCAAGGCAUCUGUGAAGGUGCUGCAUGGUUGUCGUCAGCUCGUGCCGUGAGGUGUCGGCUUAAGUGCCAUAACGAGCGCAACCCUUGUUGUCAGUUACUAACAGGUUCCGCUGAGGACUCUGACAAGACUGCCAUCGUAAGAUGUGAGGAAGGUGGGGAUGACGUCAAAUCAGCACGGCCCUUACGUCCGGGGCUACACACGUGUUACAAUGGGGGGUACAGAGGGCCGCUACCACGCGAGUGGAUGCCAAUCCCCAAAACCUCUCUCAGUUCGGACUGGAGUCUGCAACCCGACUCCACGAAGCUGGAUUCGCUAGUAAUCGCGCAUCAGCCACGGCGCGGUGAAUACGUUCCCGGGCCUUGUACACACCGCCCGUCAAGCCAUGGGAGCCGGGGGUACCUGAAGUGCGUAACCGCGAGGAGCGCCCUAGGGUAAAACUGGUGACUGGGGC
Molecule: ribosomal RNA, 1438 nt
Filed under: uncultured organism
Description: SSU rRNA
Rfam family: Bacterial small subunit ribosomal RNA
Source: RNAcentral